GACGAACGCUGGCGGCGUGCUUAACACAUGCAAGUCGAACGGAAAGGCCCUGCUUUUGUGGGGUGCUCGAGUGGCGAACGGGUGAGUAACACGUGAGUAACCUGCCCUUGACUUUGGGAUAACUUCAGGAAACUGGGGCUAAUACCGGAUAGGAGCUCCUGCUGCAUGGUGGGGGUUGGAAAGUUUCGGCGGUUGGGGAUGGACUCGCGGCUUAUCAGCUUGUUGGUGGGGUAGUGGCUUACCAAGGCUUUGACGGGUAGCCGGCCUGAGAGGGGGACCGGCCACAUUGGGAAUGGGAUACGGCCCAGACUCCUACGGGAGGCAGCAGUGGGGAAUAUUGCACAAUGGGCGGAAGCCUGAUGCAGCAACGCCGCGUGCGGGAUGACGGCAUUCGGGUUGUAAACCGCUUUCGCCUGUGACGAAGCGUGAGUGACGGUAAUGGGUAAAGAAGCACCGGCUAACUACGUG
RNAcentral lists this ribosomal RNA (468 nucleotides) under uncultured bacterium. RNAcentral describes it as "partial 16S ribosomal RNA". It matches the Rfam family "Bacterial small subunit ribosomal RNA", at positions 28 to 507 of the family's 1533-position model. The record is from RNAcentral.